This 273-nucleotide long non-coding RNA is filed under the name Ananas comosus (pineapple). RNAcentral describes it as "long non-coding RNA (ACOM_LNC042171)". Lineage: Eukaryota; Viridiplantae; Streptophyta; Magnoliopsida; Poales; Bromeliaceae. The record is from RNAcentral.
AUUUCGAGAAAAUCUGAAAAUACAUUUUCUAUAUGUAUUUGUGCGUCAUUUUGGCCUUCUGGAGAGAAAGCAGAUUUCGUCGCGAAUCCGUGAUCGAUCAAGGUCAACCAAAAUCCUAGCUUUGUUGUCCCCGUCGUGCUGAUCGUACUGGUGUGAUCCGUUCGCAAAUCUGACGGACGGAUCUGUAGAGAUCGCGCGUUGAGCGAGGAGAGGUCGGCGAUGGCAAAACGGUAAUUUCGCAAAAGUUGCGACAUUUUAUGUACCGUUUCGCGG